UCUAGAGAUUACUCCUACGGGAGGCAGCAGUAGGGAAUCUUCCACAAUGGGCGCAAGCCUGAUCCAGCAAUGCCGCGUGAGUGAUGAAGGCCUUCGGGUCGUAAAGCUCUUUUACCAGGGAUGAUAAUGACAGUACCUGGAGAAUAAGCUCCGGCUAACUCCGUGCCAGCAGCCGCGGUAAUAAUCGUCGAC
This 192-nucleotide ribosomal RNA is filed under the name uncultured Sphingomonas sp. RNAcentral's name for it is "partial 16S ribosomal RNA". It matches the Rfam family "Bacterial small subunit ribosomal RNA", at positions 325 to 532 of the family's 1533-position model. The record is from RNAcentral. Lineage: Bacteria; Pseudomonadati; Pseudomonadota; Alphaproteobacteria; Sphingomonadales; Sphingomonadaceae.